GAGCGGCGAACGGGUGAGUAACACGUGAGUAACCUGCCCCUGACUCUGGGAUAAGCCUGGGAAACUGGGUCUAAUACCGGAUAUNACACUCUUCGGCAUCGGAUGGGUGUGGAAAGUUUUUUCGGUUGGGGAUGGGCUCGCGGCCUAUCAGCUUGUUGGUGGGGUAGUGGCCUACCAAGGCGACGACGGGUAGCCGGCCUGAGAGGGCGACCGGCCACACUGGGACUGAGACACGGCCCAGACUCCUACGGGAGGCAGCAGUGGGGAAUAUUGCGCAAUGGGCGGAAGCCUGACGCAGCGACGCCGCGUGGGGGAUGACGGCCUUCGGGUUGUAAACCUCUUUCAGCAGGGACGAAGUUGACGUGUACCUGUAGAAGAAGCGCCGGCUAACUACGUGCCAGCAGCCGCGGUAAUACGUAGGGCGCAAGCGUUGUCCGGAAUUAUUGGGCGUAAAGAGCUCGUAGGUGGCUUGUUGCGUCUGCCGUGAAAGCCCGUGGCUUAACUGCGGGUCUGCGGUGGAUACNGGCAGGCUAGAGGCUGGUAGGGGCAAGCGGAAUUCCU
This 561-nucleotide ribosomal RNA is filed under the name Planotetraspora sp. 384H10. RNAcentral describes it as "bacterial SSU rRNA". It matches the Rfam family "Bacterial small subunit ribosomal RNA", at positions 93 to 671 of the family's 1533-position model. Lineage: Bacteria; Bacillati; Actinomycetota; Actinomycetes; Streptosporangiales; Streptosporangiaceae. The record is from RNAcentral. RNAcentral also lists the same sequence under 2 other names.